ACCAGACUCCUACGGGAGGCAGCAGUGGGGAAUAUUGCACAAUGGGGGAAACCCUGAUGCAGCGACGCCGCGUGAGCGAUGAAGUAUUUCGGUAUGUAAAGCUCUAUCAGUAGGGAAGAAAAUGACGGUACCUGACUAAGAAGCCCCGGCUAACUACGUGCCAGCAGCCGCGGUAAUACGUAGGGGGCGAGCGUUAUCCGGAUUCACUGGGUGUAAAGGGAGCGUAGACGGCCAUGCAAGCCAGGGGUGAAAGCCCGGGGCCCAACCCCGGGACUGCCCUUGGAACUGCAUGGCUGGAGUGCGGGAGGGGCAGGCGGAAUUCCUGGUGUAGCGGUGAAAUGCGUAGAUAUCAGGAGGAACACCGGUGGCGAAGGCGGCCUGCUGGACUGCGACUGACGUUGAGGCCCGAAAGCGUGGGGAGCAAACAGGAUUAGAUACCCUUGUAC
This 446-nucleotide ribosomal RNA is filed under the name uncultured bacterium. Its description in RNAcentral is "partial 16S ribosomal RNA". It matches the Rfam family "Bacterial small subunit ribosomal RNA", at positions 330 to 793 of the family's 1533-position model. The record is from RNAcentral.